GGGCACCACCAGGGGGUGCAGCUGCGGCUUAUUUGACUCAACACGGGAAAUCUCACCAGGCCCGGACACCGGAAGGAUUGACAGAUUAACAGCUCUUUCUUGAUUCGGUGGGUGGUGGUGCAUGGCCGUUCUUAGUUGGUGGAGCGAUUUGUCUGGUUAAUUCCGGUAACAAACGAGACUCUAGCCAGCUAAUUAGGCGUCGCCUUUUAGGUGUGCUCGACUUCGGUCGUGCAACUCACUGGCGGCGUAUUAAAAUUCUUCUUAGAGGGACCGGCGGCUUCGAGCCGCACGAGAUUGAGCAAUAACAGGUCUGUGAUGCCCUUAGAUGUCCUGGGCCGCACGCGCGCUACAUUGAAGGAAUCC
This 363-nucleotide ribosomal RNA is filed under the name Aeromachus piceus. RNAcentral's name for it is "SSU rRNA". It matches the Rfam family "Eukaryotic small subunit ribosomal RNA", at positions 1162 to 1514 of the family's 1831-position model. The record is from RNAcentral. Lineage: Eukaryota; Metazoa; Arthropoda; Insecta; Lepidoptera; Hesperiidae.